Molecule: long non-coding RNA, 121 nt
Organism: Cebus imitator (Panamanian white-faced capuchin)
Lineage: Eukaryota; Metazoa; Chordata; Mammalia; Primates; Cebidae
Exons: 2
Source: RefSeq, a predicted model, not a curated record
UUGUGUUCGCAGCCGCCGCCGCGCCGCCGUCGCUCUCCAACGCCAGCGCCGCCUCUCGCUCGCCGAGCUCCAGCCGAAGGAGAAGGGGGGUAAGUAAGGAGGUCUCUAUACCAUGGCUCGU